RNAcentral lists this ribosomal RNA (466 nucleotides) under Panopea generosa. Its description in RNAcentral is "partial 16S ribosomal RNA". It matches the Rfam family "Bacterial large subunit ribosomal RNA", at positions 1829 to 2600 of the family's 2925-position model. Lineage: Eukaryota; Metazoa; Mollusca; Bivalvia; Adapedonta; Hiatellidae. The record is from RNAcentral.
CGCCCCUUGGUUUUAUAUAAGGGGUUGGGCCUGCCCGGUGAGGAUUUUAAACGGCCGCAGUUAGAAGCUGUGCUAAGGUAGCGUAAUAAAUUGUCUUUUAAUUGAAGAAAGGAAUGAAAGGUUUGACGUAAUAGUGACUGUCUCAUCUGUAGAUUAAGAAGUUUUCGUUUAAGUGAAAAGUCUUAAAUGAAAUUAGAAGACGAGAAGACCCUGUCGAGCUUAUAUAUCUUUAUUAGAGGGUAGUAAAGUAAAGUUUAGUUGGGGCAACUAGGAAGCAGAAAAGACUUCCUAUAAAAAUAUGAAGAUCCAAUAUUAUUGAAAAUAGAAGAAGCUACCGCAGGGAUAACAGCGUUAUUUCUUCUGAGAGAUCUAAUUGAAGAAGAAGAUUGCGACCUCGAUGUUGGAUUAGAAUUCUUAUUGGCGUAGAGGCUAAUUAAGUAGGACUGUUCGUCCUUUAAAUUCUACA